RNAcentral lists this ribosomal RNA (253 nucleotides) under uncultured bacterium. RNAcentral describes it as "partial 16S ribosomal RNA". It matches the Rfam family "Bacterial small subunit ribosomal RNA", at positions 524 to 776 of the family's 1533-position model. The record is from RNAcentral.
UACGGGGGGGGCAAGCGUUGUUCGGAAUUACUGGGCGUAAAGGGCUCGUAGGCGGCCAACUAAGUCAGACGUGAAAUCCCUCGGCUUAACCGGGGAACUGCGUCUGAUACUGGAUGGCUUGAGGUUGGGAGAGGGAUGCGGAAUUCCAGGUGUAGCGGUGAAAUGCGUAGAUAUCUGGAGGAACACCGGUGGCGAAGGCAGCUCUCUGGGACGGUACUGACGCUGAGACGCGAAAGCGUGGGGAGCGAACAGG